RNAcentral lists this ribosomal RNA (802 nucleotides) under uncultured marine microorganism. RNAcentral's name for it is "bacterial SSU rRNA". It matches the Rfam family "Bacterial small subunit ribosomal RNA", at positions 8 to 818 of the family's 1533-position model. The record is from RNAcentral.
AGAGUUUGAUCAUGGCUCAGGACGAACGCUGGCGGUGCGCCUUAUGCAUGCAAGUCGAGCGAAGCUUUUCAGUAGUUUACUACAGAAAAUGACUGAGCGGCGAACGGGUGAGUAACGCGUGAGCAACCUACCUUAGUUACUGGGAUAGCCCGAGGAAACUCGGAUUAAUACCGGAUAUUCUUAUUUAAUCACAUGAUUUUUUAAGGAAAGGUCAGCCGAACUAAGAUGGGCUCGCGUUCUAUCAGCUAGUUGGUAGGGUAAUGGCCUACCAAGGCUACGACGGAUAGCUGGUCUGAGAGGACGAUCAGCCACACUGGGACUGAGACACGGCCCAGACUCCUACGGGAGGCUGCAGCAGGGAAUAUUGCGCAAUGAGCGAAAGCUUGACGCAGCGACACCGCGUGUGGGAUGACGGAUCUAGGUUUGUAAACCACUUUCAGGAGGGAAGAAAAUGACGGUACCUCCACAAGAAGCCCCGGCCAACUACGUGCCAGCAGCCGCGGUAAUACGUAGGGGGCGAGCGUUGUCCGGAUUUAUUGGGCGUGAAGAGCUCGUAGGCGGUUCAACAAGUCGGUCGUGAAAGUUCAGGGCUCAACCCUGAAAUGUCGAUCGAUACUGUUGUGACUAGGAUACGGUAGAGGUGAGUGGAAUUCCGAGUGUAGCGGUGAAAUGCGUAGAUAUUCGGAGGAACACCAAUUGCGAAGGCAGCUCACUGGGCCGCUAUCGACGCUGAGGAGCGAAAGCUAGGGGAGCAAACAGGAUUAGAUACCCUGGUAGUCCUAGCUGUAAACGAUGGAUACUA